Rhinolophus ferrumequinum (greater horseshoe bat) is the source of this 541-nucleotide long non-coding RNA. RefSeq lists it as uncharacterized. The transcript has 3 exons. NCBI's taxonomy places the organism in Eukaryota, Metazoa, Chordata, Mammalia, Chiroptera, Rhinolophidae. The record is from RefSeq and is a predicted model, not a curated record.
UGGGGGAGUGAAAUACCUAAUAGAGGAACAGAGACACAGCUACAAAGUCGGGCCAGUCCAAACUACACAAGGUGAGGUUGGCUCAAGGCUGACUCAGAAGAGCAACAGAAGAGACCUCUUGCAAAGCAAAUACUUUCUGGGGACUAAAGGUUCCAGCAGAAGGAGGGCAAGAGGCUUAAGAUUGGAAAGUGACCUCUCACCGGGAAUCUCAGGAUGGGAGUGUAGAAGAGAAGUUGGGAAGUGAUGCCCUACUGGCUUGGGGCCCAGCGGAAUCUUAGAGGAAGAGCUUCCUAAUGGUGGUUACUCUCUGGGCACCUCGUCAUUCCAGCUAUAUCACAAACAUCUUGGCCUCCCACCCCUCAAGGUGUUCAGUUGGUGGGUGGAGCCACUCAAGGAGUAGCUGGUGUUGGGAGGAAACUGCCUUGUGCUGGAGCUGCUGGAAUUUGCGUGGGCCCCACCAUCCAGGUGUUCUGGCAGCCCUUCCAUGGGUGGGAGAAGCUGGCUGAGGUCGCUUUGGAGCAACACACUCCUGAGAGUAAAC